GACGAACGCUGGCGGCGUGCUUAACACAUGCAAGUCGAACGGAAAGGCCCUGCUUUUGUGGGGUGCUCGAGUGGCGAACGGGUGAGUAACACGUGAGUAACCUGCCCUUGACUUUGGGAUAACUUCAGGAAACUGGGGCUAAUACCGGAUAGGAGCUCCUGCUGCAUGGUGGGGGUUGGAAAGUUUCUGCGGUUGGGGAUGGACUCGAGGCUUAUCAGCUUGUUGGUGGGGUAGUGGCUUACCAAGGCUUUGACGGGUAGCCGGCCUGAGAGGGUGACCGGCAACAUUGGGACUGAGAUACGGACCAGACUCCUACGGGAGGCAGCAGUGGGGAAUAUUGCACAAUGGGCGGAAGCCUAAUGCAGCAACGCCGCGUGCGGGAUGAGGGCCUUCGGGUUGUAAACCGCUUUCGCCUGUGACGAAGCGUGAGUGACGGUAAUGGGUAAAGAAGCACCGGCUAACUACGUG
This 468-nucleotide ribosomal RNA is filed under the name uncultured bacterium. RNAcentral describes it as "partial 16S ribosomal RNA". It matches the Rfam family "Bacterial small subunit ribosomal RNA", at positions 28 to 507 of the family's 1533-position model. The record is from RNAcentral.